Anas platyrhynchos (mallard) is the source of this 6187-nucleotide non-coding RNA. NCBI's taxonomy places the organism in Eukaryota, Metazoa, Chordata, Aves, Anseriformes, Anatidae. The record is from RefSeq and is a predicted model, not a curated record.
CAGCCCUGGUGUGUUUUACCAGCCUGGGCUUCAUCUGCAGCCAAACCAGGGAUGCUGGCACCCACAGCCCAUCAGGUGAUGGAUGAGCAAGGGCUGUGCUCGUCCCCAGGUGCUGUCAGGGUGCUGGCUCCCAGGGGCAGGUGCUGGGCCAGGUGCUGCACUGAGGGGCUUUGGCGUGUGCCACAGGUGGGCAUGCAGCAAGGUGCUUUCAGUGGGAUGGCAAAGGAUUUUGGUUAAGUCCCCUGAGGAGCAGAGCAAAUAUGGGCAUGUCAGAAAGGCAACAGGCUUCCCUGGACCUGGGGUGUUUGUGUGCCGUGCCGUGGGUGCUGCUUGCAUGCUCGUAAGCGCUCCUUGGUUCAGGUCUGGGCUGUAGUGUGGAGGUUUUCACUGGUAUCAUAGCACACAGGGGACAAAUAAUACGGAGCAGAGGAAGGCACAGGGAUAUAAAAACAAUCCCCUCAGCAAAUGGAGGGCCAUGGCACAUCAAUUUCUUUCUGCAGUGUCUGGUGGUUGUUGCAGGAAGACGCGGUGCAGCCACCUCACCAAAAGACCCCCCUGGCUUUGUGGUACCUGGGUCUCCCCAUGGCAAAGAGACAACAGGAGCAUAUUGUCGGUGUCUUCUGGUCUCUGAGCCUCCUGGGAGCCCGAGGAGGAUACAUGAGUUGAUUUCUUCUGGAAGGGGGAUGAGCAGCCUCCAACUUGCCAGCCCAGGAAGCAGCAGCCCCAGAUGGGUGUCCCUAUGUCGUGUCCAAGUCACAGCUACAGCGUUUGAACAGUUCUGAUUCUGCAAGAACUGGUAGAUCAGAGGAGCCAUGAGCACCGUGUGAAACAGUCUGCAAAAUGCUCCACAAAGGAAUUUGGCUCCUUUGGUGCUUCCUGCACAGAUUUUCAUGAGACUCAGCUGUCUGAUCCACUCAUCCCCACCUCUGGGCUGCUCUAGCCCAAUUCCUGUUCAUUUCCUUUCUUCCAUUACCAGCAAAUCCCUGACCCUGUUAGACUCACAUCAGGUGAAGUAUUUUCCUCUUUUCCGCUUCUUUCCCUCUUGCCUCACUUCCCUGCCCUCCCUUGUCCUGAGGGCUGUGAGAUUUGGCAGGCCACAGCCAGGACCUCAGCACUCCAGGAAUUUACUUUAUCGUUGGCAGAGACCUGCCAUCCUGGGCAAGCUUUUCCUCUGUGCAGGACACUGUGUGUGAUGGAUGGAGGUCACCUCCUGUGCACACGGAGUGUCUGAGUGUGCACAGUCUUUUGAUACCACAUCACAGCAUCUGGAGAAAUUGCCCGUGGGCUUUCUGCAGGACUGCUUGUGCAAGAACUGCAUACAGACACGUGCCUACUACUGCCACGUGGAGACAGGUACAGAGAAGCCUGAAAGCCAUCAGGCUGUAUUUUAAGUCUAUUCUCUCCACCCUUUUCUAAAAGAGCAUCCCUCUUAUGUCUCUAAAACUUCACCUUCCUGCAUGUCUUCCUCAGUUUGUACAGCACUGGGCACAUCGUGGGAGGAGGACAGCAGAGCUGAUCCCUUGUAACCUCUUACAGGCACAACUUGCUAUGCACACCGCAGCAGACACCUCCUGAGCACGUGUGUGUCAGGGAUACACUGGCAGGGAUCACCUCUUCCGAGAGAGACUUGGACAGAGCUGUGAAAAAGUUCCUGACUGACAGCAUACCUUGGUUAAAAAUCCCUUCACGAGCUUGCCUGGGACCAGCCAUCGAGGGCCAUCCCUUCUGAGAACAGGAGCAACUCCUGUGCAGGAAUUAGCAGUCAGCACACCUGUUACUACAAGAGACUCCAGCUGAAAAGAGAAGAAGAAGGGGAAAAAAAAAAAAAAGAAAAAUAAAAGAGAGGCACUUCAAUUUGACGCAAUUAUCUCAAUUUUCCCAGGAUAAGGAUCCUUGAGAUAUUUAUCUGAUUUACAAGGGUGUGCUGCAAGGUGGCAGGCACAGGGCCUUAAAGAGACAUCCAUCGACUCCCUGUGUGUGGUGGGGGGAGAAGAAAGAAAAAGGUGAGUGAGAAGGAGACACUGGAAGAAGAACCCUUUAGAACUGGGAAAGGAGGAAGGAUGCCUGCUCACUCUGUAUGUUUUCGCUUGUGAUUAAUAAUUUGUGGAAGGCUGUGUUGACCACAAGCAGUGCUGACGGCUGGUUCAGAGAGGUGCCUGGGCAGAAGCAGAAGGGAGCAGGCAGGGAUGGAGAAGUGGCAGAAAUCCUGCUGUGGACUAGGAUGCCUUUAAACUUUUAGCAGUUGGUACCUGGGUGAAGUAUUUCCUGAAGAAUUUCUUUUUCUUGAGUUUCUACUGGGGAAAUGAUGAGGGUUAGUUUUAUAUCAGGCCUGGAGAACUUGCUGGAAAGCAGAGUUGGCUCUCUGAAUUUGGCUAUAGUUAGACAAGAUUUUGGUGGGGUUCAUUUAGUUUAAGUGCAGAUGUUCUGGGCUCGGAAAAUGCAGAUUUUCCUAUACCCCCUUUUAGGAAAGGAGUGGAAAUUGGUGGAGAGCAGAACUCACCUGACGCCCUUGAAUGACCUCCUUUGGCUGGGCUGUACCGCUCUCAUCACAAGACAGGCUGGGCCAGGAGCCCUCAUUUUCUCCCAUGCAACGCCAUCAGACCUUCUGCUUUGUGCCUCUCCCCUGCUCUGCCCCUUAGUCUUCCUCCUCACCUUUGCAGCUUACAUGACUCUGGAGGCCCUCUGCGAUUUGGAGGAUGCAGCUUUGCUCCCACUGUCACCCCUGACUUCACAUCAUCUCUACAGGGAGGCAGCACUGCCUUGUCACAUCACACCCUGCUCCCGUGAUUUGACAAUAGAGAGAAAAAACGAAGGGAUUCAGUGGAGUGGCGAGUGAAACAGGGAAGUGGAAGAGGAGGAGGAGAGAAAGGGAAGAUCAGAGGGAGUGAGAGCAAACGCUUGUGGCUUAACACGGCUCGGGAAGUCACCUGGGGGAGUCAUUGACUGUGGGGUCACUGACCUUUGUGAGUAAAUUUCUGUAAUAAACUGGAGAAAGUACUGGCAGGCCCAAGUGAUUUACUUUAGAAAUUGCUGUAGUUCAGCUCCCCUCAAAUGCAAUUCAGCAGGACUGUUAGCAGGUGCAAAGCCCUUGCCAGCCUUAAUAUGGAUUACUUUUCUUUGUCCCUUAAGUUCAUCUCUUUACAGCACAGUUAUGUUCUCAUAAAUUUGUUGCAGUGUGUUUGCGGGCAGCUGGCCCAUCGGAAAGGAUUUGUGUCCACUGGAAAAGCCUGUUGGAUAAAGUUCACUUUGGCAAUACGCCUUCGUAAGGCCUUUCCUCAGCCGCAUUGCUCUGCAAAACAAUACCUUAGUUAAAGACCAACUGGCUUCACUGUGACAGAGGCAGAAACCCUCAUUUCACACGUGGACACGUGUGUGUCCUCACUGGCUGCGGAUCUCCCAUAUCCUGCCCUCCUGUCUGAUAACUGACUUUGAUGAAUGAGGAGCAGCCUUAAAAUGAGGGGAGAGAUUUGCAGAUCCCUGUUGUAAAUGAAGAUCCUUGUGCCACUAGAAAAGGGUUAUAAGGGAAUUUGUAAGUCUCCCUUGCACUGCAGAGGUCUAAUUGUUCAGCUGUGUAUAUUAGUAUUGCACGAUGUUGGUAUUAGUAUAGAGUGUGUGAUAUUGGUAUUGGUAAUAGAGUGUAGGCUGUUCUCUGUUAAAAGCCUUGUGAUAAUGAAUAUAUACCACAUAUGUCUUCUCUACAGAGUGGAGCACAUGGGGAGUGAUGUAGGGAGGUUGUUUAGGGUUAGUAUUUGAGUAGUGGGAUUCUGCUCUGUAGGAAGGGACCAGAAUGUUACAAAUUUUAGUGCAGCUGGGUGUAUUACAUAUAUCCCUGUUUAUCUUCAUCUUGGCCCUUCUGCCCACCGUGUCCUCCAGUACAGAGCAGAGAACCACAUGGAUACUUGAUUCCACAGACCCUCUUGUUUAGGACUAUGCUGUCCCAGCAGCCAGUGUCUUGUUCUUUCCUUCCACCUACAUGUCCAUCUCUCCAAGCAGCUCACAAAUGCAAUGGUUGCUCUGUGAAGGAGCUGUGGUUCCCAGAGGUGGGUGAUGCAAAUACCAGAGGCACUGCACUCGCUGCAGAAACAAUGGCACGUGGGACGUCCUGGAGAGUCGUGUCGUGUUGUGUGGCAGCCGUGAUUCCAAAGUGCUCUGGAUCUGUGCGGCUGGAGAGGACACCCUUUGUCCCUUUGUGUGUCUGUACCCAAAUGUGAGUGGUGACCCCAUGGAUGUGGCUGUGGGGGAAGUUCCCAUAGGGACAGAAGCGCUGUUCAGCAUGGAGGAGGAAGGUUGUGGAUACGGAAAGGCCCUUGUCACCAUCAGGAGCUUGUGGGACAGCCCUAGUAUACCCUGGUAAGGAGGUUAAUGUGAGGAGCAUUUCCAGCCCUGGUGCCAGGCACCCACUGGCUCCUGCAGCCAUUUCUCCCUGCCUGCCCCUUCCCACCGAGCUGCCUUUUAUUCAUGAGCUGCACUGCACGUCGAGGAGGAAAGAAAGAAAAACAGGAGGAAAAAACCUCAAAGACCAGCGUGUUCUUGUUGUUUGAUCUUUGGGGAAUGUUGAAGAAAUCUCUUAGGCCUCCGUCUGCCUGGCUGGGCUGGUAAGGAGAUUACAGGCCUCGUGUUUCCCCAGGAAAACACCCGGGCGCCAGGCCUGGCACGCUAAUCCAGACAAAGGAGAACAGCGGCCUAAUUAAUUCUCAUGUCUCCGAAUCUGAUAACAGCACAGUACACAGGCGAGUCCGUAAGGACUUAAUGAGUUUAAUCGACUGCACUUGAUGAUUUUAUUUGAAACCUUGUGCCACACAUUCAACUACGAAAAAUGCACUUGAACUUGAUUGGCAGCCGUAAUCCAGGCAAAGCCGCCUUAAUCCGUGGAGCUGGAGAAUGGGGUGGCCGUGCUCCUCCCCAGCCGAGGGAGGAUGGAGCUGGGUGUGGGGGUGACAUUUAGGAAGGAUGCAAAGGAUUGGGAACAGGGAGAGCACGGGGAGUCUCUCAGGGAGGCCGGCGUCUGCAGGGGCUGAGCCAGGAAUGUCUGGCUGUGCUUAUCUGGUUUACUCCCGUAUGUAAAUACCUCUGUGAAUGUAUGCAGGCAUGCACAAACAGUGAUUUGGCUCAAAAAGGGGCACUAGGCUGAGGGAAGAAAUAGCAUGGAAGCCUGCUUUGAAAGUCCCUUGCCCCCCACCCUCUUCCAUUUAAAGUAAUUUGCAAAAGAUUUUCAAAAUUAUAAACCAAUUUGCAAAUAAACGAUCGUGAUUAAUGGCAUAUUCUUUAAGAGGUGACAGAUCGGUAAUAGAUCCGUAAUCCCCCUUAUUAUGCAGGAACCAUUAACAGCAGUAGGCGUUAAGAGACUGCAUUAAGGCUCGAAUAGGCUCCAGCUAUGUCUCUGGAGCAGAGCAGGUCAAGUUUUUGUUGCUAUGGCUUCUUUACCUAUAGCUGUGCUCAUAAUUGGUAGAAAGCAACAUAUCUCGCCGGCAGGAGGGUUUCACAGCUUACUCACCCCCCCCCGACCCUGUGCUAACACACGUGCUGUCUGGCAGCAGAGGCACAGCCUUCAUCAGCUGGUGAGGGGUGGCAGCACCGUGGCAGGAGGGGCUCUUCUGUCCAGGUAUCUCCUCUCCAGACCCCUGAUGUUGUCUCUCUGGGAUGAUCUGAGGUGCUCCUGGCUGUGCCUUGGUGGCUCACGGGGUGCUGGCGGCGAUGGGCUGUCCUGGGAGAGUGGAUCUUCAGGUGGAGGGGUUUGGUGUGAGGAGAAGGGAGUGGGGGCUCCUAUGUGGGGCUGGGAAAGGCUCUGCAGUACCCCCUCACACCCUGCCCAGGUCCAACCCCACCAGCUAAACUGCUCCUUGGAGACACCACUGUAUCAAGAGCAGCGCCAGCAUCUUUGAUUCCCAGAACAGCAAGGAUCUGCUGCGUGGAAAUGAGCAGAUGAUGAUCCAACAGCCAAAGCACACACCUUACUGUUGGAGGAGUGUAAGAGCCCAUUCCAGCAAUUCCCUUCACUCAGAGAAAAUCCCUUCCUGACCUUGGACCCUGCGAGUGGUUUAAUGCCUUGUACACCAAGGGGACAGGCCACACAGAUGCCUGAGAAAUUGUGUCUAUCCCACUGAGCAGCAGCCUAGGGCAGAGGGCACCUCGCCUUGCUCUCUCCUUCACACUCCUGGAGUAUGAUACUGUGAAUUUGUUGUAUUCA